Aedes aegypti (yellow fever mosquito) is the source of this 73-nucleotide non-coding RNA. The record is from Rfam. Lineage: Eukaryota; Metazoa; Arthropoda; Insecta; Diptera; Culicidae.
CCUCUCGUGGCGUAGGAAUAACGCGCUCUAUCUAGAGAACAGGGAGACGUAAGUUCGAUUCUCACCGAGAAGA